Molecule: ribosomal RNA, 497 nt
Filed under: uncultured bacterium
Lineage: Bacteria
Description: partial 16S ribosomal RNA
Rfam family: Bacterial small subunit ribosomal RNA
Source: RNAcentral
GAUGAACGCUGGCGGCGUGCCUAAUACAUGCAAGUCGAGCGAACAGAUGAGGAGCUUGCUCCUUUGACGUUAGCCGCGGACGGGUGAGUAACACGUGGAUAACCUACCUAUCAUACUGGUAUCACUUCGGGACACCGGAGCUAAUACCGGAUAAUAUAUUGAACCGCAUUGUUCAAUAGUGAAAGACGGUUGUUCUGUCACUUAUCGAUGGAUCCGCGCCGCAUUAGGUAGUUGGUAAGGUAACGGCUUACCAAGGCAACGAUGCGUAGCCGACCUGAGAGGGUGAUCGGCCACACUGGAACGGAGACACGGACCAGACUCCUGCGGGAGGCAGCAGUAGGGAAUCUUCCGCAAUGGGCGAAAGUCCGACGGAGUAACGCCGCGUGAGUGAUGAAGGUCUUCGGAUCGUAAAACUCUGUUAUUAGGGAAGAACCACUGUGUAAGUAGAUAUGCACGUCUUGACGGUAACUGAUCAGAAAGCCACGGCUAACUACGUG